Molecule: long non-coding RNA, 2195 nt
Organism: Gorilla gorilla gorilla (western lowland gorilla)
Lineage: Eukaryota; Metazoa; Chordata; Mammalia; Primates; Hominidae
Exons: 8
Source: RefSeq, a predicted model, not a curated record
GCCCCGCCCCUUCUCUGGCUCACCCUCCCCCACUCCCGCACCCCUCCGCUUCGCGGCCCACCCCUCUCAGAAGCCGCAGACCCAGGGCAGGCUUGCGACAGCUCGCCCCGCCCCUGACCCAGCACCUCGGACUCGUACAGCCAAUCAAAGAGGCUAACUCUGCCCCUUCUCUCGAGGCGGCCAAUGUAGUCAGUCUGGGUACCCACCUCUCCCUUUCAGCUGAGCGCACACAACACAGCAUCCACGUGAGUCAGCUUCUUAAAGGCGAAGGCUUGGCCUGUCUAAUUGCGGCAGCUGCGAGACAUCGCACGUCAUUAGCGUCACCAGGUAGCGGCUGGAGCCGAGCUUCCUGAUACCUAGUGAGCCGCGGUGAUGACAAAUGAAAACAAUAAGCUGUUUCCUAGACAAACAGCUGCCUAGGUAACUAAAGUGCACCGUGUAAUUCGUUUCUUGGAGGCCGUUUCCCCGACCACCCCUGGUAGAGGGCUGCCUUUUGCUUUCAAACCCCUAGCCCUCGAGUCUAAGCACAAAGGCACUCCUAAGAAACAUCUGUGGAUACAGGAUUUUUCAACUGCGCUUGACUUUAUUUACAACUCAUUUGAAUGUUUUUUCUGGGUAGUGGAAAUGAUUCUCAAAAAGAUGAAGAAAUUGAGUCUUCUAUAUGGCGAAUUUCUGCCUCAGAGAGUGAGAUUUGUUUAUUGCAAAGAGCAGCUGUUCCCUUAACCCUUAUCAAUGCUUAAGAUGGAAGAUGUUGCUUCUCAUUCCAUUAGAGUUGCCCAGUUUCACUCUCUCGCCCAGGCUGGAGUGCAGUGGCACGAUCUCGGUUCACUGCAACCUCCACCUCCCGGGUUCAAGCAGUUCUCUUGCCUCAGCCUCCCAAGUAACUGGUGCUACAGUCCCUCUGGUUCUCCUGGAGGCAUGAAGAUCAGUCCAGAAGUGGAUGCGGUGAUCUAGGUACUGCGUCAAUGCCAGCUCUUCAGAAAGGCCCCCUGAAGACUCUUCCUGAAGCAGACUCAGAGAUGGAGUUAGCAUGUAUAAAUUCAGCCUGAGAUUCCAGAAUAUUCUGUGUAUUGACCACCACAGCAAGAAGAAAAAGUCCACGUAGGACUGAAAUUUUCCUGCAGGUCUCUCGCAUGCCAGUUACAGUUUACACUGGUGGCUCCAGGCUGUGUGGAGUAAACCAUGGGAAUAAAAUGGAAUAGAGCAGUGGUUCUCAAACGGGCAUCCAAAUCAGUAAAGAGGAAGUCAAACUGUCGCUGUUUGCUGAUGAUAUAAUCGUAUAUAGGCUGGUGCUGGCACCAAGAAAAUGCAUACACCCUGUGGGCAGCUCACUUUGAAGAGAGAGAGAAGAAAGGGCUGGGCUGCCCCUAUUCAAGCUCUUCUUCCAAAAGCAGUACUCAGAUGGGUCACUCCGUAAUUCCCAGGGUCCAGUCAGGGAGCGGUGGGGAGAGGCUGGAGUGGCCUACUAAGGGAGAGCCCUGUUAACAGAGCCUCCUACACAAGGAAGAAUCACUAGGAGAGGGGAAGGAACGUGCGAGGCCCCUGCCAACUCCUCUUCCAUACUCGUUCGUUUGCGCAUUCAACACACUUUUGAGCACCUUCUUUUCCUCUGUGCUCAGUGAGAGGAAUUCAAACAUGAAACUAGAUGUGGCCUUGGCUUUCAGAGAAGUCCUUCCCUUAGUAGUGAAUACUAGUUCCCUGAAGUUUAACAUUGGAGGAGAAGGAGUUAUUAAACACCCAUUCUAAGCAAGAACAUCAGUAGCCUACAAAGGGCCUUUUUUCACACUUUCAGUCUGUUGAAGAAAACUCACAGUUGGUAUCACUUGCUUUAAAAGUGCCCCCCCCUCUGCCUUGUACGGUCCAGAUUGCUGUGAGGCCAUGACAAGGAACCAAGUUCUGUUUUUCUGUGAAGAGAAUGGAAUAAUCAUUUACCUCUUUCCUGUGGCUGCCAGCUGGUCUCUUCACUCAGUCACUCCCUGUUUCUCCUUCCUCCCUUUCCUCUCCCCUUCCAGUACACAGAAUCCCUUCUCCAUAUCCCCCCAUGAUGAAGGACCACCAGUCAUUGGCUCACCUCUCUUCCAAAAUUCCAAUGACUAGAGUCUUUCUCAGAGUAUGUAUGACUGAUGUUACAGACCCCUAAGUCUGGAAGAGUCUAAGUAACAGUGGGUGUUGACCUGAAUGUAAGUUAGUUUUCU